Long non-coding RNA from Parus major (Great Tit), 4749 nucleotides. RefSeq lists it as uncharacterized. The record is from RefSeq and is a predicted model, not a curated record. Lineage: Eukaryota; Metazoa; Chordata; Aves; Passeriformes; Paridae. The transcript is spliced from 3 exons.
GUGGAAAGGAUUGGAAACAGCAAAUUUGUCAAUGUUUUUCCUCACUGCCGAGUCGCUGCUGCUUUAGAUUAGCCCUGUCCCCUGCAAUUUGACAGUAGCGCCGUGAACCUGCAGCGUGAGGAUCCCGGGCUAAGAUAGGGAGAAAGGAGGAGGAAUUCAGGGAAUGUUUUCCCUCGGAGCAAGCGGGGAAGCGCAGCCGCUGGGACCCGGGCUGCGGUGACAGCGCUAACACUUCCCAGAGCCGGGGACCCCGCCGCUGGAAUGGCAUUGCCCACCCUGAAAGUGAGAAGGAAACAGGUUUCAGAUGUUUGGAGGUUCAAAAUCUGCCUCCCAGUUUACCAUCCAUUGACAGCCUUCAAAUCUUUUCUGGCUUUAGAACUGAGGGAUUGCUUAAUAUUCUUCGUUUUACAUCGUGCAAUCCUUUGCUCCUGGGAUUUGCUUCCUAAUUCCAAGGAAAGCUGCCUUGGGAAGAGCGAUCCAGUGUUCACCCCGUGGCGACUCACGGGCUGGUUGGGAUGAGCUCUCCAAGGAGGGCGUGUGAAGGAAGAGUUGGUGGCGUUUGCACGGGGAGUUUGGGGUCGGAUGAGCGUGGAAAGUGACACUUUUCACUUCCCAGCGCCUCGGAAUGAAUCUGCAUUUCCAGGUUUCCUCAGAUAAAAUAAUCAGCGUUUCCAGAUUCCCUUUCUGCUGUCAGCACCACGCACUUGGAACUCAAAUAAUCGCUGGUUUUCUAUCCUUUAUUUAACCUCCAUAGGAAAGCCUGAUCAUAUUCCACUAAUAUUCCCUAGGAAUUCCUCUCUGGCCGCUGCAGGUGAUGCCUGAGGCUCUGGGGAAGGAGGACUCUGCCUUGCCCAGGAUUUCUGCUGGUUUGGCACUGCAGCAGCCACAGUGUGGUUUUUCCCAGUAGUUAUUCCCAUUUCUCACAUGGAUGUUGUUCCAGUUUCUGCUCUGCUCAUUACUCCCAUUUCUCAUCUCAAAUAUGCACCAGAUUUUAGUGUCCUUUGAAGAGCCCAAACCCAGUUCAUGAAGUUCAACGAGCAUGAGGAUAAAAUUAAAUUAGUGAAGUGCUUGGUUAAAAAAAUAAUAAAAUUGACAGCUAAAUUCUUUCAGUUAAUUAUCUUCUCUUGCAGAUAAAUCCUGUAGGCUCCAGUAUAGAUUUAUCUUUAAAAAAUGCUGAAGGAUCAUUCUAAUAUUUUAUUGAAAUCUAUUAUUUUGAGGAUAUUGCUGGACUAUGCAUUUCUAAUUAAAAUAACAUUUUACUGGGGUGGGGAAAACCUGUGUAUAUCUGAGUGUUAAAGAGGAAGGUUUUGCUAUUCCUGCAAGGGAAAACUGAGCCCCAGAAAAUAUUUUUCCUUCUGAAUUAAAACAACAAUUUUUCUGAGUUACUUUGUACCCCCUAAUAAAUGACAGUUUUUCUUUCGAAGCCUUCCAGAAACAAAACCUGGCUUUUGACCUGGAAUGAAAAGACAGCGCUAAUCCAACGUUAAAAAUCGAUGCUAAGCUUACACAGAAUUAAAAAUAAAUUGAAAGAAAUUAAUUUUAUUUUUAGCAUUUUUGGCAACCUCAGAAUAUGCCCUGCCUCGGUUCUAUGAAAAGCUUUACACUGAAAAUACAGUUAUAAAUUUAUAAUACAAAAAUAUAAAAUAUUUUCUAGUGGCAUAAAUAGCAUUCAUUUUUUUUGGGGAUGAUAAUUUGGGUUCUUCAACGAUAAGGUGAAAAACACAACUAUAAAAAAUGUUUAACCUCCAUUUUAGGUUAAAUAUUGGCUGCUUUGCAUCAAGAAAAGUGCACCACAAGCACGAGACAGGCACCCAGUCUCUGAGCAAAAAAAACCCUCACUUAAUCUAAAAUAUAGAUAUGAGGAAUUUUAUUAAUUCUGUCAGUAAACUACCUGAUUCUUUUUAAAAUGUAAAACUCCAAAUUUUGCUAUCGAGCUCCAGAUAAAAAUCACACCCCUUUAUUUCUGGCACAUCUCCUGUAACAAAUGGGGGAGUUUGCUGAUGACCACAAAUAUAUUGGAAAAAUGUGUAAACCAAAGGCAGGGAUAUUUUCCAAGAGAAACACCUGGAAGGUGUAAAUCAAAACUCUUGUAAACACGUCAAUGGGAACAUACGACAGGCACAGGGCUCGCUGUGCAUCCAUGGAGCUUUGGAAACCCGAAUGGAUAAAUCAGGGAUCAACCUCGGGCUAAUAAACAGCUCUUGUAUGGAAAGGAGAGAUCCUCUGCCCCUGCCAGACAGCAAAAGAUGGAUUUGGUACCUUUGGAGAAAUCCAGGAGGUCAUUCACAAUAAUGGGAUUUUUAAAAUAAAAAUUGAUGCUCAAAGAAAUUUUGAAAGGCUCUGUGAUUUGUUCAAAUCAGCAGUGAAAUUAAUAACUUUAAUAACUUAUUAAUUUUCUUAGAAAUACUUGCCAAGCAUUUGUUUCCCCAAUUUAAGCUUCCUAAUUAUUGAUGUAAAUAAUAUGUAAAUGUAAAGAUCUUUUACACCUACAUGAUAUUUAACUUCUACAUUGCAUUUUACCUCUGCAUGAUAUUUUGCAUCGACAUUGUUUUAACAACUAAAUUGUAUUUUGCAUUUUUUAUCCAAAUUUUAUUUACUCCACAUUGUAUUUUCUAUCUACAUGAUAUCUGACAUAUAAUUUUGUUUUAUUAUAUAUUAGAACAUUUUAUUUUCCAUUUGCAUUAUAUUUCACAUCUACGUUUUACACCUAAACUGUAUUUUCUAUCUAUAUUGUCAUUUAUAUCUACAUCAUAUUUCACAUCUAUGCAAUAUUUUGCACCUACAUUAUAUUUAACAUUAUAUUCCACAUCUCCCUUGUAUCUCACACCUACAUUUUAUUUCUAAUCUACGUUAUAUUUUAAAUUUCCAUGACCAAAAGCUCAAAGGGACAGAGGAAGAAAUCUGGGGGAGCAGACUGCUGAAAAACCACUGUGCUAAAAAACCCCUAAAAAUCAGGAUUUUCCCUUAUGGACUGAAAGAAGCCCUAUUAAAAUCCUAUCUUCUGGAAAGCGUCAGAGAGGCAGGAGGUUGGUAAACAUUAUAAAAACAACCCCUCAUAAAAUUUUUAUUGCUUUACAUUUCUGUACAUUUUACGGCCAGCGCGGGGGGAAAGAAGCGACAGCGAUUUCUCCGCCUCGAGAGCAGGCAGGAACUUCUUUCCCCCCUCACUUUCUGCUCAUCCAAAUAAAUAAAAAUGCUGAAGCCUGUUCAUUUCUCAGGCAUUUGGGGGAAUGAUUCCACGCUCAGAAGGAGCCAAGGAAAAGCUGAAGGCUAAAUGAACCUCACGACUUUAAUCUGGGUGUUAUAAACAACUAUUGUCCUUUUUGGACACUGCAAUGUUUUUGCAACGUGAUUUAUUUCGUACCCACGUGUUUUCUAAUUUCCAAAAAAGCAGGGAAAACACUGUUAGAAUUAUUAACCCUUGGAAAAAUUAACUCUUGGUAAAAUUAUUAAGCCAGGGAUUUAAAAUUUCUCCCCAAAAUCCAGCGUAGAUGUCUGCUUCCUGAGGAAGUAUUUUUAGCUUCUGAAUGAAACAAGUCACGGACAAAAAAAAAAGGUAAUUGUGCUUGCAAGUAAGUAUUUAAAUAUUUACAUUUGAAAUAUAUUUGCUGCCAGCUUCUGUUAGCGAGAAGAAAAGUAAUUUGGGAAAUUACAACCCUUCCUAUUUCCCACAUUUUUUAGGAUAAUAAAUGCGGGGCUGAAUUUAGCAUGCCCUGGAGCUUGGCUGGCCGAAGUCGAAGGCAAAGAGGGAGCUCGGGAUAAUUCAUGGAGCAAAGAUGCUGCUGGGGAGGGGGACCUGCAGAGCUUGGGAGGUGCUGGGGAUGAAGAUGAGUUUCCCUUGGGCCGGGAAGCGCCUGGAUCGCCCGGAGCAGCUGUUCCCGGCAUGUGGAACCAGGCUGCGGCCACCGGCCGAGCUGAUUUCUCAUGUGCUGACCUCCAGAUAUGGUGGAUCUGCUCAUCCUCACAAGCUGGCAGGCUCAGGGCCUGAGUCAUGUUCCCCAAACCCUCCAGCACGUGGAGAUGACGCUCGGGGUCACGGAUGAGCUGCCUUUCCCUGUGUCCCAGCCUACACUCCAUGCGAAACCACGCUGGAAAAUCCAGGAUGCGUUGGGAUGAGUAAGAAGGGGGUGUCGUGAAGCCAAGGGGAGAUGAUUCCUGUAGAUGCCAGUCCUGGGUCAGGUCAUCACCCCCAGCACCUUCUGCAGGUGUUAGAGGUGGCCACCCCCCUGCACAUUUGCAUAAUUGUUAAUUAAUUUUUAUUGUUGCUAUUGUUUUCCUCUCGGCUUCCAGGGGUUUCCAAGGAAAAUUUCCACCUCCUGAGCAGAACGAGGAAGGAGCUCACUGUGGCCACACAAGAUCUGAAACCAAGGGGGUGUUUUGGGUCCUUCCUGGUGAGGAUCUUCACCUUUUUCAGAUGUCAAGAAGCCACCAAGGUGUCUUCCAAAGCAACGUAUCAGCGAGCUGAUCCCAGUUUGGGGAUUUGAUUCCCUCUUUCCUUGGGAUGCCUCAGUGAAUUCCUGCAGCCGAAAUCCGCACUAACCAAACAAUCCUGAUGACACACUUUGUGGUCACAUCUGCUCUCUCACCUUCCUCCUGUGACGAAAGGGAAAAACCCAAGAGCCCUCUGUGAUGACGCUCACUGCUGUUGAUUUAAUUGGGUUUGGGUAAAUCCGUUCUUCUGCAAAUGCUCACCGGGGCAAGCUGUUCCUCCUUCAGCUUGUGCAAAUAAAAUAAGGAUGCAAACACGAC